UCCAUGGUGAGAACACGACUUUGAAUUUUGUUCGCCGCUUCAUGCAAAUCCGCUAUAACAGCCCCGCUGCGCAUGCGCGCGGAAACUUUCCCGGCUUCCCGCGCGGCUAGCGUCGUUCAUUUCACGGAAGGCUCUUGAGGUGGACGCGUCUCUUCUCGGCGAGUGCAGGAUUUGUAGAGCCGACCUCAUCUUCUCUUUCCUAUCGAAGAGCCGGCCGCUUGCACGCGCGCUUAUCAUCGCAAUCGUUUUAGAAGAUAUGGAGGAGCAAACUGCUACCUGUUACAGAUUUUCCCGUGAAAUCAGGCGUUUGUAUGUUCACCUGGCGAAUGGAUGAAGCCAAAUCUUGACCGGAACAUGAGACGCAAUAAGAAAUAUAAACAUGUAUGGAGAAUGCGCAAGGAAGGAUUGAAAAAUACUUGUUUAUUGUCCUGAACAACGAGUAUGUCAAAGUGGCGUCUUUCCGAAUAAAAUUGCUAUCAUUUUGAAGCAAUAACGAUGCGUGUAUCGUUCGUACGUGAAUCGUACAGAGGCCUGAAGAUACACUAUCAAUGUGGCUUCGAUACUUGAAGAGAACGUAUCCUACAUGAAGGAAAAGAAGAUAGAAGAUGAAAGGUGCGGGUAGGAGGAAGAGAUAAUAAACAGGAUGAAAUAAAUAUUCCAUAGAAACAUGAUUCUUUUAUUGGAGAACCUUUACAGCUAAGGUAGCGUGCCGGGAUUUCUUUCCCCCCCGAGGAACACGAGAGUGCGUGCGAGCGGAGCGAGGUUUACCCGUGAAUGCACCUCGUCAGACUGCUGGUACAUUGUCAGGUGACGUUCCUGAUGAGGAACUUCUAUGCCAGUGGUUCAAACGGUACGUGAUCGGCCACCGUGGAGAAGGUGAAUCGCAACAAGUCGCGAACGUCGAUUGCCUCCCGACGGACCUGAUAAUCUCCGAUAGAGCAUAUCGGCGGUUUACGAGAUGUUUUAUCGUUCAAGACGCAGUCGUACCUCUGACAUUUUGUAAACGAUAGUGAAACGAUGGGCGAAAAGGAGAGAGAGAGAGAGGAAGAGGAGGGAAAGGCGAAGAGAGAUGGAAACUGGGAGAAAGAGGAGUCGCGUGUCCUUAGACUCCGUUUUGCGUCGAGACAGGUGGGUGAGGAGGAAGAGCUUGAGGCAGAAAGGCUGGACUUGUUUUACCGUCCGAAAUAGAGCGUGUUCUCGGCGCGAUUCGAUUCAGCGCGAUCCCCCACCGCGGGAAUUUUUACUGACCGAUAUGACCGGCUGCAGUCGGUGCUCGAGGUAGCUGCUGUAGCGCUGGUUGAACGCGAGGAAGAAG
Long non-coding RNA from Vollenhovia emeryi, 1315 nucleotides. RefSeq lists it as uncharacterized. The transcript has 10 exons. The record is from RefSeq and is a predicted model, not a curated record. NCBI's taxonomy places the organism in Eukaryota, Metazoa, Arthropoda, Insecta, Hymenoptera, Formicidae.